Notolabrus celidotus (New Zealand spotty) is the source of this 586-nucleotide long non-coding RNA. RefSeq lists it as uncharacterized. The record is from RefSeq and is a predicted model, not a curated record. The transcript has 3 exons. Lineage: Eukaryota; Metazoa; Chordata; Actinopteri; Labriformes; Labridae.
GGGAGGGGACAGGAGUGAUUGCAAAAUGGACCGAGCAGGCUGCCCCUGCUGCAGGAAGCAAACAAAGGGGGACAAUCAAGACCCGGUCCAGCUGUCAGGAUGCUGGGAUCAGAGACAUGCAGGAGGCUAGACUGUAAAUAAAAGGUCUCAACCUUUCCUGAGAAAAAGGAUCAAGGUCAGAGGUCAUCUACAGAGCAGCCUGAGGAACAUAUCAGAAGUGCUGUCACACAUAUGAUCUCCCUCUCCAUGGAACAGUAAAACCAGGCUUUAAACAUCAGAAACAACACAAACCUCCUGAAACAGAGAUGAAAGCCUGCAGCCGGAAUAUCUUUGAAGAUAUAUCACAAACUACCUGUCCCUGCAAAGACUGAGAUGUAGGCCCAAAUAACAAAACAUGUAGAACAGCUCAGAGACGUCACCCAUUGGUUCCUGAGGAGGUUAUGAAGCCCAAAGAUGGAGGUCCCCAUGCUGGAAAUGUUGACUCCAGCUAACUUCAGGUCAACACAGAUGGUGGUCCUCGUGCAGGCCUCAAGCCUCCUGACAAACAGCCACAACACUGUGAGUCAGCUAGGCCACGCCCCUCAUU